RNAcentral lists this ribosomal RNA (501 nucleotides) under uncultured bacterium. RNAcentral describes it as "partial 16S ribosomal RNA". It matches the Rfam family "Bacterial small subunit ribosomal RNA", at positions 29 to 523 of the family's 1533-position model. The record is from RNAcentral.
AGUGAACGCUGGCGGCAUGCCUUACACAUGCAAGUCGAACGGCAGCACGGGUGCUUGCACCUGGUGGCGAGUGGCGAACGGGUGAGUAAUACAUCGGAACGUACCUUAUCGUGGGGGAUAACGCAGCGAAAGUUGCGCUAAUACCGCAUACGCCCUGAGGGGGAAGGCGGGGGACCGUAAGGCCUCGCGCGAUUAGAGCGGCCGAUGUCUGAUUAGCUUGUUGGUGAGGUAAAAGCUCACCAAGGCGAUGAUCAGUAGCUGGCCUGAGAGGACGACCAGCCACACUGGGACUGAGACACGGCCCAGACUCCUACGGGAGGCAGCAGUGGGGAAUUUUGGACAAUGGGGGCAACCCUGAUCCAGCAAUGCCGCGUGAGUGAAGAAGGCCUUCGGGUUGUAAAGCUCUUUUGUCAGGGAAGAAACAGCAGCUCUAACACAGUCUGCGAAUGACGGUACCUGAAGAAUAAGCACCGGCUAACUACGUGCCAGCCGCCGCGGUAA